Molecule: ribosomal RNA, 413 nt
Filed under: uncultured bacterium
Lineage: Bacteria
Description: bacterial SSU rRNA
Rfam family: Bacterial small subunit ribosomal RNA
Source: RNAcentral
UGAGUAACACGUGGGUAACCUGCCCUAAAGUGGGGGAUAACAUUUGGAAACAGAUGCUAAUACCGCAUAAACCUAACACCGCAUGGUGUAGGGUUGAAAGAUGGUUUCGGCUAUCACUUUAGGAUGGACCCGCGGUGCAUUAGUAGUUGGUGAGGUAAAAGGCUCACCAAGACCGUGAUGCAUAGCCGACCUGAGAGGGUAAUCGGCCACACUGGGACUGAGACACGGCCCAGACUCCUACGGGAGGCAGCAGUAGGGAAUCUUCCACAAUGGACGAAAGUCUGAUGGAGCAACGCCGCGUGAGUGAAGAAGGUUUUCGGAUCGUAAAACUCUGUUGUUGGAGAAGAAUGUAUCUGAUAGUAACUGAUCAGGUAGUGACGGUAUCCAACCAGAAAGCCACGGCUAACUACGUG